UGUUGGCCUGAAGGGCUUGUGACACGC
RNAcentral lists this small RNA (27 nucleotides) under Bombyx mori (domestic silkworm). RNAcentral describes it as "ovarian small RNA-36169". Lineage: Eukaryota; Metazoa; Arthropoda; Insecta; Lepidoptera; Bombycidae. The record is from RNAcentral.